Molecule: ribosomal RNA, 417 nt
Filed under: uncultured bacterium
Lineage: Bacteria
Description: bacterial SSU rRNA
Rfam family: Bacterial small subunit ribosomal RNA
Source: RNAcentral
GAUCCUGGCUCAGAGCGAACGUUAGCGGCGGGCUUAACACAUGCAAGUCGAGCGAGAAAGGGGCUUCGGCCCUGAGUACAGCGGCGGACGGGUGAAUAACACGUAGGUAACCUUCCUUCAGCGGGGGACAACGGUCCGAAAGGACCGCUAAUACCGCAUACGUUCCCUGGGACCUCGGUCCUGGGGAGGAAAGGCCCGCAAGGGCCACUGGAUGAGGGGCCUGCGUAGCAUCAGCUAGUUGGUGGGGUAAUGGCCUACCAAGGCGAAGACGCUUAGCUGGUCUGAGAGGAUGAUCAGCCACACUGGGACUGAGACACGGCCCAGACUCCUACGGGAGGCAGCAGUGGGGAAUAUUGGACAAUGGGCGCAAGCCUGAUCCAGCCACGCCGCGUGAGUGAUGAAGGCCUUCGGGUCGUA